UGGGGAAUUUGGAUCAAUGGGGAACCGAUCGAUCAGCCAUCCCGCCGUGGUGCGAUGAAGGCCUUCGGUUGUAAGCACUUUUGGCAGGAAAGAAAACGUCGCGGGUUAAGUACCCGCCGAACGAUGACGGUACCUGCAGAAUAAGCACCGGCUAACUACGUGCCAGCAGCCGCGGUAAUACGUAGGGUGCAAGCGUUAAUCGGAAUUACUGGGCGUAAAGCGUGCGCAGGCGGUUCGGAAAGAAAGAUGUGAAAUCCCCAGAGCUUAACUUUGGAACUGCAUUUUUAACUACCGGGCUAGGAGUGUGUCAGAGGGAGGUGGAAUUCCGCGUGUAGCAGUGAAAUGCGUAGAUAUGCGGAGGAACACCGAUGGCGAAGGCAGCCUCCUGGGAUAACACUGACGCCUCAUGCACGAAAAGCGUGGGGAGCAAACAGGAUUAGAUACCCCUGGUAGUCCACGCCCUAAACGAUGUCAACUAGGCUGUUGGGGCCCUUCGGGCCUUGGUAGCGCAGCUAACGCGUGAAGUUGACCGCCU
This 535-nucleotide ribosomal RNA is filed under the name uncultured bacterium. RNAcentral's name for it is "partial 16S ribosomal RNA". It matches the Rfam family "Bacterial small subunit ribosomal RNA", at positions 355 to 874 of the family's 1533-position model. The record is from RNAcentral.